Molecule: long non-coding RNA, 448 nt
Filed under: Amborella trichopoda
Lineage: Eukaryota; Viridiplantae; Streptophyta; Magnoliopsida; Amborellales; Amborellaceae
Description: long non-coding RNA (ATRI_LNC004698)
Source: RNAcentral
GUAGGAGUCCAAAAUUUAUACACAUAUUAUCUUCAUCCUCAUAACCACUCCUACAAAAGAAAAAAAGCAUUCAAUUUCCCUCUUAGAUAUGGUCAAAAUUAGUACCCAUCCAACAAUGAAUCUCGACCAUCCAUUUGGUGAAUUUCAAGAUCUAGACCGUAACAAAUUCAAAAUCGCCUUUUUAUUUUUUAACAUUAUUAAUCUAAUGAUGAUAACGCUAUAUAAAAAUUUUGGAAAUAAAAAAAUCCUUAUGAGACCUAUUUCUAACCAUCUCAAUAAAAUGGACGGCUUAUAUUUAUUGGGCUAGAAUGAAGACUUUCUAGAGCAUUUUUUCAAAAUUUUCUUUGUUGUGAUUUUCUCCAUAAUGAAAAGAGAGUACAUAUAAAAAAUCGUUUCAACAAAUGUCUUUAACUUGGUUUUUUAAUAUGAUUGCAUUAUACUACUAUAC